CGCUGCCCUGGCUUGCAGAAUUCCCACAAGGAGACUCCAGCGCGGCCUUGGAGACAGGCUCUGGACCUCGCCUUCCAAAGUGGUCCUGGCAGCCACGUUUUUACUUCACGUGGCACUUCGUGCUGAUUGAAUAAGUGGCAUCAGACGCUCUCAUCUGCAUCCAGCUGCUUCCAGUCUGCAGGCUGGAAGCCAGUCCCGCGGCCAAAGCGGCUGGAACUGGGUCCACAGUAAGUACCAGCAAGCCCGACAGACCUCCUCCUUGAGGUAGGAGGGCUCAGGAGAGCUGUUUCCCCGCACCGACCCCCCCCACAUGGGGCUCCUGGCCUCCCUUCCCUCCCUUCCCUCCCCCCUUCGUUCUUGGCUGUACUCCAGAGAUCACUUCUCAAAGGUUAAAAUCUGCAUAGCAAUCACCUGGGACCUUGUUAAACUGCACUUCCAAUUCAAUAGGUCUGGGGUUCUUGGGGCGGGGGGAUGCUGAUUUGUGGUCCCGGGACCACACCUCGAGUAAGGCCAGAACUGCCCUGUCCAACACGACAGCCACUGGCUACUGGUGGGUAUUUAAAUUAAAUUAGGGGCGCCAGGAUGGCUCAGCCAAGUUAAGCGUCUGACUCUCGAUUUGGGCUCCUGUCCUGAUCUCUCAGUGAGUUCGAGCCCCACAUCGGGCCCUGCGCUGACAGCUCGGAGCCUGGAGCCUGCUUCGGAUUCUGUGUCUCCCUCUCUGCCCCUCCCCUGCUCUCGCGCUCUCUCAAAAUAAUUAAGUAAACUUAACAUUUUUUUUUUUAUUUUUUUCUAAAUUUUUUUUUUCAACGUUUAUUUAUUUUUGGGACAGAGAGACACAGAGCAUGAACGGGGGAGGGGCAGAGAGAGAGGGAGACACAGAAUCGGAAACAGGCUCCAAGCCAUCAGCCCAGAGCCCGACGCGGGGCUCGAACUCACGGACCGCGAGAUCGUGACCUGGCUGAAGUCGGACGCUUAACCGACUGCGCCACCCAGGCGCCCCAAACUUAACAUUUUUAAAUACAUUGAAUGAAAUAAAAAAUUCCGUUCCUCAGUCGCACUGGCCACAUUUCCAGGGCUCAGCAGCCACGUGUGGCCAGGGUCUGUGGCACAGGGAACGUGGGUCCAGAACAUCAUCCCAGGAAGCUUUGUGAACUGCUGCUGUCCAGGGUGAAGGUGUGGGAAUCUAACCCCCGAAGCGUGUGUCGGUCCCAGCNAACGGGGGAGGGGCAGAGAGAGAGGGAGACACAGAAUCGGAAACAGGCUCCAGGCUCCGAGCCAUCAGCCCAGAGCCUGACACGGGGCUUGAACUCACAGACCGUGAGAUCGUGACCUGGCUGAAGUCGGACGCUUAACCGACUGCGCCACCCAGGCGCCCCAACAUUUUUUUUUUUUAUAAAAUUUUUUUUUUCAACGUUUUUAUUUAUUUUUGGGACAGACAGAGACAGAGCAUGAACGGGGGAGGGGCAGAGAGAGAGGGAGACACAGAAUCGGAAACAGGCUCCAGGCUCCGAGCCAUCAGCCCAGAGCCUGACACGGGGCUUGAACUCACAGACCGUGAGAUCGUGACCUGGCUGAAGUCGGACGCUUAACCGACUGCGCCACCCAGGCGCCCCAAACUUAACAUUUUUAAAUACAUUGAAUGAAAUAAAAAAUUCCGUUCCUCAGUCGCACUGGCCACAUUUCCAGGGCUCAGCAGCCACGUGUGGCCAGGGUCUGUGGCACAGGGAACGUGGGUCCAGAACAUCAUCCCAGGAAGCUUUGUGAACUGCUGCUGUCCAGGGUGAAGGUGUGGGAAUCUAACCCCCGAAGCGUGUGUCGGUCCCAGCUCCCCUGCAGUGGCCGAGGGCAGACAAAACUCUGCGAGGCAGCAAAUGCUUGAGGACCAUGUGUAUUCUGUGCAGGUGGAGUCCUCGGUCUUCCACGGGUUUAUUCCUCUUCCGCGAGGCCAGGCUCACUGCUGUAUGUGCGUCUUGCUGAGUUGUGCCGGUGGGAAGUGUGGGAGACAAGGGGCGGGGAAGCAGUGUGUGGGGAUGCGACCGCCUUCCCCUCCCCCUCUCUUUGGCUAGGGGGUCUGGAAUAUGGAGGGGAGCUCGCAGGCCCUUUGUCUGCUGCUUCCACUGCUCUGACCAUCUUAAUUCCCGAGGAGGUGGGGAGAAGGGAAAUUCUUCUUCAGAGUUGAUUCUGCACACAUUGGACAAAUAAAGCAGAGAACCCCGGCCCCCUCCUCCCCACGAACCCUGCACAGCACAAAGAGCUCGGGCAGGGGAAGGAGGGAGGGUGGGGAGGUUUUCCAAGAAUGCCUUUCAUGUGGACCCGGAGCUGUCGUUUUCCGGCAGUUCUGUGAACCAGGACCCGGGGCGAUUUCCCAACGUGCAGUUGGCGAACGUGGGGCCAGCUGUAGCAAUCACAGGGAGAGGCGCGGGACCCGCACGGAGCCCAGGGCCCAGGAAGCUCCCCCCGGCCGCCUCAGAGCUCAGGGCCCCUCCCUGUCCGGCUGAGCAGUGAGGGGCUGGCCUGAGGCUGCCGACUAGCAGCCUCCUUCCUCGGGCGGGCGGAGACUGCAGACACAUUGGCACAAGAGCCUGAUGUCUGUGGAUUCCCGUGCAAGGUCCCUGCCGUCUGUUCCCCUUGUUAAGUAAGCUUAACCCUUCCGCUAACCAGUAGGUAUGCAGCUGGUGCCCACGUCAGAAGAGCCUGACUCUGGCCCUUACCACGCUCAAAGCCCUGUGGCUUUGAGCAAGGCUCCUCUCCUCUCUGGGCCUCAGUUGACUGCCAGAGGAGGACAAUGCCUGGUUUUCAGGGUGGUUCAGCGUUUGGUACACAGUAGCAGGUGCCCGAUGAAUGUCAGUCCCCCGGCUCCAUACUUGUAAGGCAGUGGUGGUGACAGUGUGCAGAGGGGGACAGACAUUCACAUGGAAAAGUAUGAAAUGACCACUGUGACAGAGGAAACAAGGAGAGCUUUGGAGAAUAAUGAGAAUCUGUCCUGGGGCUGAUGAGUCAGGGAGGGCCCACUUCCCCAAGGGAUGUGCUGACUGGGCUGAGAAGUUAACCAGGCAAACUCAGGAGGAGGGAAGACCAGCUAAGCUGAGGGAACAGCGUGUGCAAAGAUCCUGUGGCAGGACAGUACUUGGCAGUCCACGGGGGCAGAGGAAGGACCAGGGUGGCUGAAUGGCAGAGUCAGGGGCACAGAGAAGGAAGGGAGAUGAGGGGAGACUGUGUGUCUGUCCCCGAUGCCCCUGUGCUACAUGGUGGAGGCCAACGCUCGAUGCCCCUGCCUCUGUGAGUUCACACCUACUGAAACAGGGUGGUGACUGUCAAAGUUCCCUUCCAGUAUUCUUUGAUGUGUCAAAUGUGUCCUUGCGUCUGUGGCCGUGCCCUGUAAGAAAUAAAUAUGGCUGGGGCGCCUGGGGAGCUCAGUCGGUUAAGCGUCCAACCUCAGCUCAGGUCAUGAUCUCACAGUUCUUGGGUUCAAGCCCCGCGUCAGGCUCUGCGCUGACGGCUUGGAGCCUGGAGCCUGCUUCCAAUUCUGUGUCUCCCUGUCUCUGCCCCUCCCCUGCUCACGCUGUCUCUCUCUCAAACAUAAAUAAACAUUAAAAAAAGAGAAAAAAGGAAUGAAGCUGGCAUCCAAGUCAUCCCGUUGGAAUUUCUAAAACCACUGAGCUGACACACGCAGCCCAUCUGCAGGGAGCUGAGGGUCCCGGGGAGGUCCAGGGAUGGUGACGUGAGAAUGAAUGAGUCCAGCCCGAGCAGAAAUGCCCCUGUUCUGCAAAUGAUCUGCUCUCUCCAGACUGACCACUGGCCUCUUGCACGAGAAGUGGAAUGUCCAUAAAAGUCACGCCCGUUUCCUUCCGAUUGCACAAAGGGUUUGCGUCAGGCGACCCAGUUCUCUGCUGCCUUCACUCCUUCCGGAUGAGAGCGUACGACAGGCCGGGCUGGGUCAGCGAGCAGGGUGUUGAUGCCCGCGGCCGUUCUGACGGGGCCUCGCCCACGGGAGUGGCCCAAUCCAGGAACUGGAAACCCUUGACUGGGGAAGAGGAAGCCACAUGCCCAGUCGUGGGUCCAUCUUCGUUCUUUACCCCUGGACGGUGAUGCACUUUCCUGGCACAUCUCAUGGCCAGUGGCCCGAUGGUGGUGACUGUGGUGGGAGCAGCAGCAUAGCAGGAAGUAGCACGUAAGUACUGGGUGGCUGUUUCAACAGGAAUGACCCUUAGUGUACCAAGUCUUCAUUAAUCUACGGCCGAACUAAAUUUCACUGAGGAGCCUCCUUCUAGCAGGCGAUGGAAGCAUAAUCUCGGUCAGUUUGGGAUCUCCCGUCCCUGUGUUGUCCGACCGCACCGAAGCAGAGGAAGCGCCUGGAGAGCCACGGGGCUGGGGUGCAACACGCAGUCUGGCCCUCAGGGCGGUCAGGGUCCGCGUGGGCAUCAUCUCCAUGGCAGCCUGGCCUUGGCAACACGGCGGGAAGCAGGGUGGGGAGGAGAGCGGGUCCUGAAGCCAGGCUGCCUGGGUUCGGCUCCCAGCGUCCCCUUCCUGGCCCUGGGACCUUAAGCGAGUAAGUUAGCCUCCUACAGGCUCAGUUUCCUCGUCUGUAAGACGGUUCACAGUCGCGUCUGCCCGACCGGGCUGCUGCGAGGGCUCGACGAGCCGGUGCGCGUGCAGUGCUUUGGGACAAACGCUGCAUGUGACCCACACUCACUCCUCUGUGUGCCCGGGUUUGAUGGGGUCACCCCCACCUGCACCCUUUCCCGGUGGCCUGGCCUUUCGGUUCCCAGACGCCAGGUCCUGUUCAGGUCACCUGUAGGCACGUGGGACAGUGGGGCGGUGGCCGCAGAGUGUGGGGAAGGCUCUCCCGGACCCCAGUCGGGACGCACCCAGUCCACGCUGGGCACUUGACCUGGAAGGGGCAGAGCACGGGCUCCCGUCCGUGGGCCCCCAGCGCCCGGUUUUCAUUUCCCUCUGCCUCCCACCCACCCCGCGGCUGUGAUGCCUUUUCUCCUCCGGGGAGCUGAGACCACCCCUCAGUCACCCCCCGGGGUCUCGCCCUCUUUGUCCCCAGGGCUCUGGUGCGUCAUCUCUCCCCCGGAGCAGCACAGGACACAUCCUCUCCGCGGUGGAACGGAGUGAGGGCCGAGGGGCAGAAGGAAAUGUCGGGAACGGGGGACACGGGGACCCAGUUAAGAUGUCUGAUGUUCUCCCCGCGCACUGUGGCGCCACCUUGCUGAGGAUUCGACCCCGGGGUGGGGGCCUGGUCACGGGAACAGAGGUAUGAGGGCUGUAGCCCCCACCCCGCCCCGCCCACCCCAGAGACACCGGCAGAGCCCUCUGGGUCAGAGGCAGGGGCACCUGAGAACCCCCACGGCGUGUCAGGAAGCGUGCUCUCAGGCUUAGCCAGCUGGUCCAGCCAAGCACUGCCCGCAGGUGCACCCGGCACCCUAGGCCCUCGGCCAGAUGCCGAUGGCGGCAUUGAAUGUGCUUCCUGCUAAGCAGCCUAAUCAAGCUGUUUCUGGUCGCACAAUGGGACUCAACCCUGGCCAACCCUGGCGGAAAGGCCAGCUUCAUAUAUCCUUCUGGAGCCAGUUUCCAUGGAGACCCCCUGCUCUUCCUUUCCAUUCCAGCCAUGUGGUUCUCCUCACUGGGCCUUGAACAAACCAUGCUCGCAAGCACCCCGGGGCCUUUGCACUCCCUAGUCCUUCUGUGCAGACAGCCCUUCCCUCAGGUACCUGCAUGGCUCCAGGUCUACCUCCUUCAGGUCUUGGCUCACUUGUCAUCUUAGCGGUGAGGCCUUCCCCGAUCUCCUGUUUUAAACUGUCUCCUCUCCCUUCCUUAGGGUGAGGGUUAAGGUCCCCCUGCACAAGAGCAGGGACUUUGUCUUGUUCACUGCUCUACAAAUGAAGGACCUCGCAGGGGCUUUCUGCCUUCUUUGCGUUGUAAACCCGAAGCAAGAAAGCCCAGAGAACUUAAGCGACUUGCCCAAGACCACACAGCUGUUAAGAAAAGGGGAAUCUGUCCUGGUUAAUUCGUAUCGAACUUGUUCCUUGAUCACAUCCUGUUCCCUCGCAUUGUCACUACCUAUCCUUUCCUCCUUUUGAUCUCCAGCUGCAGAAACCUCCACCCUUCCAGGCACCCUGGGGCUUCUGGGGAGGACCCUUGGUACCCUCACCGGGAGGGACGAGCCCCUGCUUGGUGCCCUGUACCUUGGGGGGGCACUUAGCAAAGACCCUCACAGUUGUGUGCUGGGCCUUGUGUGGCCCCAGGGCGGAGGCUGUGUUUCCCAUCCGUGAACACCAGCCUGCAGGAGGGAGUGGGAGCACGACAGCCCCCCUCAGCCUCAGCCCUCCCACGUGCCCCCCCCAUACCCAUUUCUACCCAGAACUUGAGGGCAGGAGGAGGGGCUCAGAGCCAGGACAGAGGGAACAGAGGGAAGGAACAGAGGAUGACAUUUGCCAACCUCUCUAGGUUGUCUUUCUUUAUGGGCGGGAUUCUUUGAACCCCCCGCAGACCUGCUUCUGCGUUUGCAGGAGCUGUUUGGUGCUUCUUUCUAGAAGGGAUGGUGGGAUGCUGUCUACACCCAUUUCAAGUUCAUUUCUGGUCCUGCGAGCAAGCUGUUAACUAGUCCUCCCCGGAUGGAUCCCCUCUUCUGCCCCGCAGUCCCCACCCGCAAUGGGAGGGUCGGGCCCAAGUCAAACUCUCCACCCUGUAGCCGGGAGGCUGGCAGGUGCACCAGAGGGCAGACCCCAGCGGGGCAGGAUGGGGAGAGGCCUCAGGCCUCCCAGCCCCAGAACAAUUCAAGCCCCCCCGCUGACAGCCCAGAUAGGGGAAGCAAACCCGCUGGGCCCUCCAGCUUGGAUUUCACAUAAUGAGCCUUUGGAAUCCGGGAAGUGAUUAAAAGCCCACUGGGGAGGGGCCACCUACCGGUUCUGGAAGGUGUGGGGCUCACCAGGAAGCUGCACUUAGACGAGAAAGAGGAAAAGCACAGAUUCCGAAAUAGCCCAGUUCAGAAGUGUAGGGCCAGGGAGUUGUGUGACGGAGACGGGGCAGGAAGAGUGGCCCUGGGGUGAGACGGGUCAGGCCGGGGAGUCGUGUGAUGGAGACCGGGUGGGGACGGUGGCCCUGGGGUGAGACCUGUUGGGCCCUUAUGGGGGCAGGCGGGGAGGGGGGCGGGGAGGGCAGGGACUCAGGGGCCUCCGCAGGCCGCAGCAGCCCCGCUGUGCUUACUGAGUCAAUCAGGUGCCUGCUCUAAAACCAGAGGGCUGUAGAGAACCUGAGCGUCACAGUCAAGCUGUCUCCUACUGGUGCGACCACCAGGGCAGAGAGAGGGAGAGUGGGCUGCCUGGUGUCACACAGGCUGGGGGGGGACUCGGCCAGGCCUAGGUCUCAGGCCCCCUGCCACCCCCUCAGAUUAGAGUGACGAGAGAACUAAGCCAGCCUGGAACCCCACGCGCUCACUCCCCAUCUCAAGAGCUGAGCCAUUUGAAGCCUCUUGCUGGGUGCUGGGUCAGGUGGGGGUAACCGGUAAGAGCCCUAAGUGCGGUCACUGUCCUGGGGCCAUUACCUCUCACCCCCUAGACUAGUCCUAGGAACCGUGUUCUUUAUUUUGCAGGUGAGGCAACUGUGGCUCAGAGAGGUUAAGUCACUUGCCCAAAGUAACAAAGCUAGAAAGCAGUGGAGCUGUGAUCUGUACCCAGGCCAGCCGGACACCAAGCCUCAGCCCUCCCAGCGUGCUGGGCUCGGGGAAGGUGAUGUGGGACAGUUGAGGCAGGAGUUGUCGUACAAGGUUAGGAGGAACUUUGGGAACUCUAGCAAGGAAGGGAGAAUAUUGCGUCUUUGAGGCAAAGCUUCCUCUUAGUCACAGAGGUAUGGCCACCAGGCCCUCAGGCGGUCCCUUCAUCUUGCUGGGCAGGGCCCUGAAAAGCCUGCUCCUUUCUGCUCAAACUGUACAAACAGAGUCUCGGGGCAGGAAGACCCAGUUUGUAAAACAGAAAGCUUCUCAGAGAUGGGGCUCCAGAGGAAGGUCCGAGGGAUUGCCCCUGGGUUUGUCAGGGGGAGGCGAAGGAGUUCGGGGCAGCUGGCGACAAGAUGCCAGCCUGGGGCGUCCAGGGGGCCCUGGCCAGCGUGAGGCUCAAGGAACGGGUGGGCUGGGGCCGGAGUCCAGCGGGGCCUUGGGCCGGGGCCAGAAGCCGAUCGUGCUAAACAAAGCAUUACACAACCGGCUCAGUAACUGCUUCAGUCGAGUGGGUCAAACUAAUUCCUUCCAGGGGCGCCUGGGUGGCGCAGUCGGUUAAGCGUCCGACUUCAGCCAGGUCACGAUCUCGCGGUCCGUGAGUUCGAGCCCCGCGUCGGGCUCUGGGCUGAUGGCUCGGAGCCUGGAGCCUGUUUCCGAUUCUGUGUCUCCCUCUCUCUCUGCCCCUCCCCCGUUCAUGCUCUGUCUCUCUCUGUCCCAAAAAUAAAUAAAUGUUGAAAAAAAAAAUUAAAAAAAAAACUAAUUCCUUCCAGCUCGGGAGCUCUACUUGGGGGCGGCGGGAGCGGGCAGGCCCCUGAGUUCCGGGACCCUGUGUCCAUGUGGGUUUAAUUAGUUCCAUGGUCACUGCCCCCCUCGGGUACAGCCUUGCAUGCCAGGCCCCCGGCAGCUGCCUGGUGCCCUUAGAGGAACCAGGAAAAGAGGAGGGUCCCUCAGGGCAGUGGGCCAGCGUGCAGGCAGGACUGGACUGCUCGCCCAGGGCAGCCACGGCCGGGAGUCUGGGGCCGGCAGAGCGGUGACACAGAUCCAAAGACUCGAGCGGGAGCUGUGUGGUGGGCCCGGGUCAGGACCAGGAGAGGCUGCGCGUGGGAAAAGGAGGCCAGCAACUUUCAGGGUGUGAGGCAAGUCAAGCCAGAGUGUAAGGGACACAAGGGUGUGUUUGGCCAAAUUUGGGGCUCUGCCAGCAUCACAGACGACGGAACAGAGGCUCCCGGCAGGACUGAACUGUGGCGGGCAGUCGGGACUGGAGGCCUCUGGGAAAAGUCACAGAGCUCGGAGAAUCCCAGUACCGGCUCCGCAGCAUUAGUAAAAAUGCAGAUUCCCUGGCCCCACCUGAGGCCUACAGAAUGAGAAAUUCUGAGGGUGGGACCCAGCGAUCCGUGUUUCACACAGACCAGCAGGUGACGCUGACGUGCGAUAACGUUGGAGAACCGACGGACGAUUCACAGUGUGGGCCACAGACCAGCAACGUCAGACCACCCGAGAGCUUGUUGGAAAUGCAGGAUCUCAGGCCUGGCCCCAGACCUACUGAAUCAGACCCUGCAGUUUGACAAGACCUCAGGGCGUUUGCAUGUGCCUUCUGGCCGGACAAGGCCCGCCCCUGAGCUCCGGCCCUGGGCUUCCUUGGUCUGAGCGUGACUGGGUCUGAGAGACAGGAACACGAGGAUGAACGAGAAGGAGACCAUGCCUCUCCAGACGCAGGCGAGAGCUGUCCUCGGAUCUUCAUGAAUCCAGUUCACUCCCAGAAAGGGUCACCAAAAAAAACCCUACCACCACCACCACCACCACCACCACCAACCGAAAACCCUGAUGGCUUCUGAGCCUGCAAAGAUGCCCAAUGCAGACGCUGUGCAGAAAGCAGGUCGCAGUAAGACAAACAGCCCAACAGCUGCUACUCCCCUUCCACGGGGGCCAGCUGGGCCGGCUGGGGGAGGCUGCUCUCAGCCCUCUCGGCAGGGGUGAUUUAAGGGGACGCUGGGCAGGCCGGAGUGCCCCCUGCGGAGACGCUCAUGAGGAGACAAAGCUGCAGACGGGCGGCCGGACCGGUCGUCAGGUGUGCCCAGGGUCACCCAGGGUCCCAUUCUUUCUGGGGGAAACCGCAGAGCAGUGGAGAUGAAUUAUAGGAGAGGUGUCCCGGCAGAUAGGAACGUCUCACCCUCACGACACCAGAGGGAAUCUCUUUCGUCCCCAUCCCCCUCCGAGCUGGGGAUUCUACCAGACUGGCCUUUCCACCCCCUUUAACAGGGGCUGUGGAUUGGUAUUUGUCUGUGAGGGUCGAUAUGUGCCGGGCUCCGGGCUGAGUACCCCGUAUGUGCGUUUUCAUUGAAUUCGUCCCACAAUUCCCUUAGGUAGGUACCGCCGUUUUAGGUUUCCACUAAUAUUUUGGUAUUUACUGAACACUGAUAGAUAUUUACUAUUCUACAGGUGGAAAAAGUAAGACUAGAAGCGGGUGGCUCUCCAAAGUCAGCUGAGGGGAAGGAAGAGGCCGCCAUCGACGCCAGGCUCUCCGGCCGGCGUUACACCUUUGCUACUCAGAGAACGGGACCAGCCGCCUCAGCAUCAUUUGAGAGCUUGCUGUGCAGAAAUCUCUGGCUUCACCCAGAUUUACAAACUCAGACUCUGCAUCUUAACAAGGCCUGCAGGAUUGGUACGCACACCACGGGCCGCGGGUUCCCCCUCACGUGAGGAACACAGCUGAUUUGACUCGGAGGCCCUUCUCGGGUCCUUUCCGGGAAGCAGGGUGUGAGGACCCCGGUGGCAGUCACCAGCUUCUACCGCGACACAAGAGAGCGAGAGAGAGAGAGUGAGAGAGAGAGAGAGAGAGAGGAAGGGAAGUGUGUGCCCUCGCGAUGGCCGUCUUCACGGACGGGUUGGCCCUGUCUUCCCAAGGUGAAGUACCAUCCGCGCUUUCUCUGCAGACUCCGGAGAACGGUCCCGCAGGCGCCCCUGGACUACAGUGGCAAGAAGGUACUUCUGAGUUUCUGUCUCCCUGGGGCCCAGCAACCUCUCGUGGGUGACGGUAAUCCUGCCCACUUCCUCGUGGGCGUGCGUUUAGGACCAUCAGGGUGGGAAGCAGUUUGCCGGCUCAGAGCGCGACAGCGUAGGAUGCGAUCCUCGCGUCACCUAGGCCAGGUGCCUGAUGCCUCCGCCCUGCGAGGUCACCUCAUGUCGCCCCUCGCUGGGAGGCCCCAUCGGGGUCCCCCCUGCCACCGCCAUGUUUUCUGCUCCCUCUACUCCCACACUAACCUGAGGGCCUCAUGGGCCUGCCGUCCUGCCUUGCGAUACAAGUACCCGCAUACGGUUCUGCCCUUUCUAAUAGGACACGGUACUUC
This 11067-nucleotide long non-coding RNA is filed under the name Lynx pardinus (Iberian lynx). The record is from RNAcentral. Lineage: Eukaryota; Metazoa; Chordata; Mammalia; Carnivora; Felidae.